Molecule: ribosomal RNA, 301 nt
Filed under: uncultured bacterium
Lineage: Bacteria
Description: partial 16S ribosomal RNA
Rfam family: Bacterial small subunit ribosomal RNA
Source: RNAcentral
CAGUAGCCGCGGGAAUACGGAGGGUGCAAGCGUUAAUCGGAAUUACUGGGCGUAAAGCGCACGCAGGCGGUCUGUCAAGUCAGAUGUGAAAUCCCCGGGCUUAACCUGGGAACUGCAUUUGAAACUGGCAGGCUAGAGUCUUGUAGAGGGGGGUAGAAUUCCAGGUGUAGCGGUGAAAUGCGUAGAGAUCUGGAGGAAUACCGGUGGCGAAGGCGGCCCCCUGGACAAAGACUGACGCUCAGGUGCGAAAGCGUGGGGAGCAAACAGGAUUAGAUACCCCUGUAGUCCCUGUCUCUUAUAC